AGUAGUCCUCCCACCCCGGGGGACGGGUGCGGGGGGUGACCCGGUGAAGAGGGCAGGGAGCUGGGGCAGCCUGCUGUGCGGAGCUGGGGGAGGAGGAGGGAGCCCUGGGGGACAGACAGAAGGACCAUCGAAGGAGAAACCCUGCUGGCCUCGGGACCUGGAGGAAAGAACCAGGGCCCGUGCUCCUUGGGCCAGGAUCCGGCGAUUGGACGGAACCUCUCGGAUUCCCCAGUGCUGUGAAAUCCACUUGGGGCCAUCACACCCUUCAUUGCUGUGCUCCCUGGCAGAACUCGAAUGCAGCGUGAGCUGGGCACUUUUCCCAGGGUUUGCUCUAGGUCUGGGUCUCCCAUCAGCUCCCCCGGAGCAGAGCCUGAGGCAAGGAUUCUUGUUCGGGGGCAUCUUCCUCUCAGCACCGUGCUUUGGGAAUCGAGUGAUGGUGCUGAGUGAACCCCUGAGUGAACAUCUGUGGCUUCCUCCCACCUCGUCUCUGGAUGCACUCCUGUUCGAAUGGUACCUGAUCUUCUUCUGUGUGAGAAUUUUCUCUGGGCACAGUCUGUCCAGGAGGGGACACGAGUACCCCUAAUUUCACUAAGUGUGGCUGAAUUAUCUUCCAGGGUGUCUGUACAUGCUUGUCCCCUCCCCACGGUGGCGUGCUCAAUGGUGGCUCCCCACAGAUAUGUCCGUGUCCUAAUUCCCGGAGCCUUUGGGUCUCAUGUAGCCAAUGAUGUGAAAAAGUGAAGGAUGCUGAGAGGAGAUCAUCCAGAUGUCUUAGAGGAUAAAAAUGAGCGGGCAGAUGAAGAGAUACUCAGGGUGAGGUUUGGAAGGUGCACCAGGCCCACCCCAUGGAUGUGGCUCAGAGAGCCUGGGAAACGUGAGGUCUGUGACCUGGAUCAGGCCCAGAGAGACCUGAGCAGGAGGCGUGUGAAGCCCCUGCGCCUGUGCGAGGAGGGAAGCUGUUUCAGGGAAUUUGCCUUUCUUUCCCUGUAGUUUCAGACUAGCUGAUAAAUUACCUAAAAUGUUACCACAAGAUGCACAAUGUAACCAUCACUCAUUAUCUUCAUGUUCCUGGAAUUUUUUUUUUUUUUUUGAGAUAGAGUGUAGCCUCAUGGCAGCCUCAACCUCCUGGGCUCAAGUUGUCAGAGGCGUGUGAACCAGAGCAACUCCAUCUUGAAUGGGGCUGCGUAAAAUGAAGCUGAGACCUGUGGGGCUGCAUUCCCAGACCGCUGUGGCAUUCUGAGUCACAGGGUGAGACAGGAGGUCAGCACAAGAUACAGGUCAUAAAGACCUUGCUGAUAAAACAGGUUGCAGCAAAGGAGCCGUCCAAAUCCCACCAAAACCAAGAUGGUGACAAGAGUGACCUCUGGCCGUCCUCACUGCCACACUCCCACCAGCCGUGACAGUUUACAGAUGCCAUGGCAACCUCAGGAAGUCACCAUAUAUGGUCUAAAAAGGGGAGGUAUGAAUAAUCCACCCCUUGUUUAGCAUAUCAUCAAGAAAUAACCACAAAAACGGAGAACCAGCAGUCCUCGGGGCUGCUUUGUCUAUGGAGUAGCCAUUCUUUUUUUUUUUUUCGAGAUGGAGUCUCGCUCUGUUGCCUGGGCUGGAGUGCGGUGGCAUGAUCUUGGCUCACUGCAACCUCUGCCUCCUGGGUUUAAGUGAUUCUCCUGCCUCAGCCGAGCUGAGUAGCUGGGCUUACAGGCACCCACCACCAUGCCCGGCUAAUUUUUUGUAUUUUUAGUAAAGCCAGGGUUUCAUUAUACUAGCCAGGCUGGUCUCGAACUCCUGACCUCAUGACCUGCCUGCCUCAGCUUCCCAAAGUACUGGGAUUACCGGUGUGAACCACCGUGCCCAGCCAGAGUAGCCAUUCUUUACUCCUUUACUUUCCUAAUAAACUUCCUUUCACUUUA
Molecule: non-coding RNA, 1907 nt
Organism: Homo sapiens (human)
Lineage: Eukaryota; Metazoa; Chordata; Mammalia; Primates; Hominidae
Source: RefSeq, a predicted model, not a curated record